RNAcentral lists this ribosomal RNA (492 nucleotides) under uncultured bacterium. RNAcentral describes it as "partial 16S ribosomal RNA". It matches the Rfam family "Bacterial small subunit ribosomal RNA", at positions 34 to 507 of the family's 1533-position model. The record is from RNAcentral.
AGUGCCCGCUUUCUUUAUUCCUAACACAUGCAAGUCGAACGGCAGCACAGUAAGAGCUUGCUCUUACGGGUGGCGAGUGGCGGACGGGUGAGGAAUACAUCGGAAUCUACUUUUUCGUGGGGGAUAACGUAGGGAAACUUACGCUAAUACCGCAUACGACCUACGGGUGAAAGCAGGGGAUCUUCGGACCUUGCGCGAUUGAAUGAGCCGAUGUCGGAUUAGCUAGUUGGCGGGGUAAAGGCCCACCAAGGCGACGAUCCGUAGCUGGUCUGAGAGGAUGAUCAGCCACACUGGAACUGAGACACGGUCCAGACUCCUACGGGAGGCAGCAGUGGGGAAUAUUGGACAAUGGGCGCAAGCCUGAUCCAGCCAUACCGCGUGGGUGAAGAAGGCCUUCGGGUUGUAAAGCCCUUUUGUUGGGAAAGAAAAGCAGCAGGUUAAUACCCCGCUGUUCUGACGGUACCCAAAGAAUAAGCACCGGCUAACUUCGUG